UGUCUCAUACACCUCAGAACUAACG
This 25-nucleotide non-coding RNA is filed under the name Mus musculus (house mouse). The record is from RNAcentral. Lineage: Eukaryota; Metazoa; Chordata; Mammalia; Rodentia; Muridae.